CAUUACCGAGUGAGGGCCCUCUGGGUCCAACCUCCCACCCGUGUUUAUUUUACCUUGUUGCUUCGGCGGGCCCGCCUUAACUGGCCGCCGGGGGGCUUACGCCCCCGGGCCCGCGCCCGCCGAAGACACCCUCGAACUCUGUCUGAAGAUUGUAGUCUGAGUGAAAAUAUAAAUUAUUUAAAACUUUCAACAACGGAUCUCUUGGUUCCGGCAUCGAUGAAGAACGCAGCGAAAUGCGAUACGUAAUGUGAAUUGCAAAUUCAGUGAAUCAUCGAGUCUUUGAACGCACAUUGCGCCCCCUGGUAUUCCGGGGGGCAUGCCUGUCCGAGCGUCAUUGCUGCCCUCAAGCACGGCUUGUGUGUUGGGCCCCGUCCUCCGAUCCCGGGGGACGGGCCCGAAAGGCAGCGGCGGCACCGCGUCCGGUCCUCGAGCGUAUGGGGCUUUGUCACCCGCUCUGUAGGCCCGGCCGGCGCUUGCCGAUCAACCCAAAUUUUUAUCCAGGUUGACCUCGGAUCAGGUAGGGAUACCCGCUGAACUUAAGCAUAUCAAUAAGCGGAAAA
RNAcentral lists this ribosomal RNA (560 nucleotides) under Penicillium sp. P1. RNAcentral describes it as "eukaryotic LSU rRNA". The stretch from base 182 to 334 matches the Rfam family "5.8S ribosomal RNA". Lineage: Eukaryota; Fungi; Ascomycota; Eurotiomycetes; Eurotiales; Aspergillaceae. The record is from RNAcentral.